CAGUCGCCGCGGGAAUACGGAGGGUGCAAGCGUUAAUCGGAAUUACUGGGCGUAAAGCGUGCGUAGGCGGUUCGUUAAGUCUGUUGUGAAAGCCCCGGGCUCAACCUGGGAAUGGCAAUGGAUACUGGCGAGCUAGAGUGUGUCAGAGGAUGGUGGAAUUCCCGGUGUAGCGGUGAAAUGCGUAGAGAUCGGGAGGAACAUCAGUGGCGAAGGCGGCCAUCUGGGACAACACUGACGCUGAGGCACGAAAGCGUGGGGAGCAAACAGGAUUAGAUACCCGAGUAGUCCCUGUCUCUUAUAC
This 301-nucleotide ribosomal RNA is filed under the name uncultured bacterium. RNAcentral describes it as "partial 16S ribosomal RNA". It matches the Rfam family "Bacterial small subunit ribosomal RNA", at positions 509 to 807 of the family's 1533-position model. The record is from RNAcentral.